UUCUCUCCACGGAUCCACCCUUCAAAUUCAAAUUCCUGGAUAAGUUUAAUAUCUUCUCGAUUCUUCUUUAUCUUACUUCCACCGCCUCACCUUCUCCUUUACCGCCACUGCUUUAACUCUACCAGGUUAGGUUAGUUACUCCACCUACCCUUCUUCUACUAAACAACUUUCCAUUCCACCGUUCCUCUAAACCGCUUUUCCCUAACAUACUAAUAAUCUACGUAGGCUUCUCUAUCACAGAAAAACUUCGCCACUGAUCUCCUCUCUCCAUCAGCUUUCAGAAAUCUCUAUCGUCGAACCCAUUGGAUUCUACAGUUCCACAACAGAAAAUGGUUAGUCCAUUUUACGGUUUUACUUGUUUCUAAGAAAUUGGCGAUUUUCACAAAUUAACUGGAUUUAGUUGUGGUUUUUUUGAACUUGAUGGUGUGUGAUCCGAUACCUCAAGGAUUGAAGCAUAUAAAUGGCUGAUUUUUCAGCAUAUUGUUGUUCAUAUAUUUAUUAGAUAUAACAGGCUUUUAUUAAUUAAUACUUUUUUAUAUUGUAUCCAAUUUGAUGUAGUCUAUUGAAGAUAUGAAACAUGUACUUCAAGAAGAGGUUGCAAGUUUUCUUCUCCUGUUAGGACGCUGUCAUCCACUAACACAAGCCCUCAUCUUCCUUCCUCACUUGGAUUCAUAGUUGAUUGUUGGACCAAAACGGGGAGAUCACAGAUUCCCUUGAUGCCAUCAAACGAAGUCUAUGUUGCGGGUUCUAGAAUUAUAACAAGAUCUGAAACAAUUUGUUAGGAUUUAUUUUUUUCUUUUCCGCUAUGUUUUCUUCUGGUCUUUCCCUAGGUUUUUAAUUCACUUCUCUUACUUCUCCUCUCUUUAGAGUACAAUUUAUGUGAGGCUUUAGGUUAAACUGGCAAUGAGAAAUCACCUGAGAAAACUUUUGUCAACUUUAAUGUUAUAUUCUUUUCUAGGAGCAAGGUUGUGAGUCAUUAUUGUAGGGAAAUUUAGGAUUUGUGGUGGAGAUCUGGAUACCAACUUGGAUCGUGAUAUCACUUUCCGAACUGAUAUUUCUACCCUAUGCCUGUGUUACAAGAAAUUCAGCCUAGGAUAAUCCAAGUGGACACUUACGUUUCUAGGCACAAAAAACAUAAGC
Molecule: long non-coding RNA, 1140 nt
Filed under: Lactuca sativa (garden lettuce)
Lineage: Eukaryota; Viridiplantae; Streptophyta; Magnoliopsida; Asterales; Asteraceae
Description: long non-coding RNA (LSAT_LNC001117)
Source: RNAcentral